Molecule: unclassified non-coding RNA, 250 nt
Filed under: Hevea brasiliensis (rubber tree)
Lineage: Eukaryota; Viridiplantae; Streptophyta; Magnoliopsida; Malpighiales; Euphorbiaceae
Source: RNAcentral
UCAAGAUCAAAAGCAUUCAUCUAUAUUUUCAUGUUGGAUCCUUUUUGUUGUUUGUGUGAUGUUGCUAUUGAUUUUUCAGUCAUUUAUUUUGAUCCUAACCGAAUUAAAAAAAAGAAAAAAAAAUCUAUCAUAAGAAUUAAGAACACUAGAAUAGAUUAGAAUGGUAACUUGUAAAUAAUAGAAUAGACUAGAUUAUUGUAGUAAGUAGUCAAAUAGAUUGUUGUGUGUAAUGUAACAGAAUUUUAGAAAA